UAGCACUCCCCUUGACAAGCAUGGAAGAGGCCAUUGGGCCUGACAAUAUGCACACAGUUAAGGCAUUGCCACCUACUUGGUGGCAUCUAACCAUCGUUUCAG
Small nuclear RNA from Rhinopithecus bieti (black snub-nosed monkey), 102 nucleotides. Lineage: Eukaryota; Metazoa; Chordata; Mammalia; Primates; Cercopithecidae. The record is from Ensembl.